This 622-nucleotide long non-coding RNA is filed under the name Heterocephalus glaber (naked mole-rat). RNAcentral describes it as "lncRNA (ENSHGLG00000038357.1)". Lineage: Eukaryota; Metazoa; Chordata; Mammalia; Rodentia; Bathyergidae. The record is from RNAcentral.
CUUUUAAAUUACAUAAAUACUCAGAACAUGGGGAAUUAAUUUAAAACUUGAGUUUAAGAAAAAUCUAAUUAUUACUUGAAAUCUAGAAGCAUUCGCAGAAAAUGCUUUACUUUAUGCAGCCCUUAUUGCUGAAGGGAUUUCCACACAGUGGAAGGCUGAGCCUAUCCUCAGUGUAGGCAAAGUCAGCCAGAGGGGUCUGGGAUGAAUCCUGCAACUACAGGACCAGCAUGCUGACCAUCCAUGAGCUCUGGGCAAGACUGUCCCCAGCAAGGGCAGCCUAUCAGUACUCCUCACAGUGUGGCUCACUUCUUUCAACUAGGAUGCUGACCUUUCUUCCCUACCAGUGUCCUGUUUACCUACUUCAAAAGAUGAAAGUGCUGACCUGCUUCAUAGAAAUGUUGUUUAAUUAAUACAAGCCCUUCUCAAACAUGAAGAACUAGUACAACUUCUUUGGGAGCUAUGCUGCUAAAAGACAACAUGGGUUUAAAUCUUUAGACUGGAAUAAAUCUAAAAGAGGACAUAAUCGUUGGCUUUCUUCCACUAGUAUUAAAGGACUUUAUAGAUCUUUAAUGAUCUCAGAUGAAAGAAAAUGGAAAAUGUAUGAUCAUUCCAUGACAAGGUG